AGGAUCACUGGCCUCUAACAUCACCAGUUAGAUCCAGUAAGAUGACAACACCGGAGAGAUGUCCCAGUCCUCUUCUUCCACAGGAUGGUUCAGAAGAACAUCACAAUAUCCCAUGGGAUGAUGAUCAGUUUGUGAAUCCGGGUGAAGAUCUGAACAUUAUAUAUGUU
Bufo bufo (common toad) is the source of this 167-nucleotide long non-coding RNA. RefSeq lists it as uncharacterized. The record is from RefSeq and is a predicted model, not a curated record. The transcript is spliced from 3 exons. Lineage: Eukaryota; Metazoa; Chordata; Amphibia; Anura; Bufonidae.